CUUCAUUCCCUUUCACCCCGGAAGGUGUGAUUGUCUCGUGUCAUGGUGGCCACCGCAGUGUCCCUCCCAGCAAUCUCUCUUCUCCGUCAGGUGGGGUUCCCACCCCCGCUCAGCAUUCUCUCUGCAUGGAUGCUGAAGGACCAGGCCCACCUGAAGUUCUGAGCUUGAGCAGUAAGGUGGAAACAAAGAAACCAAUGGAAUCAAAGAAGCAAGUGAUUGUGAAAAGGAUAGCCAGCGUCUGGUCCCGGUACCAGGCAAGUGAUUGGAGUUUCUUUCCAGUUUGGGAACAUCUGGACAGGCCCAGAUUGAACAGGGUCCAGGGUGAAGGACCAAGCCUGUCCCAUCGGCCAUCCUGUGUGUCAUGUCCUGGGACCCACUGGAUGCUCAGCACGUAAGUGAACCGACAGGAGUGAGUGAAGAGAUGGGAGCAUCUCCUUAUUGUGGUGGAGGCU
Long non-coding RNA from Camelus dromedarius (Arabian camel), 452 nucleotides. RefSeq lists it as uncharacterized. NCBI's taxonomy places the organism in Eukaryota, Metazoa, Chordata, Mammalia, Artiodactyla, Camelidae. The record is from RefSeq and is a predicted model, not a curated record. The transcript is spliced from 3 exons.